RNAcentral lists this ribosomal RNA (1343 nucleotides) under uncultured bacterium. RNAcentral describes it as "16S ribosomal RNA". It matches the Rfam family "Bacterial small subunit ribosomal RNA", at positions 28 to 1378 of the family's 1533-position model. The record is from RNAcentral.
GACGAACGCUGGCGGCGUGCUUAACACAUGCAAGUCGAACGGAAAGGCCCUGCUUUUGUGGGGUGCUCGAGUGGCGAACGGGUGAGUAACACGUGAGUAACCUGCCCUUGACUUUGGGAUAACUUCAGGAAACUGGGGCUAAUACCGGAUAGGAGCUCCUGCUGCAUGGUGGGGGUUGGAAAGUUUCGGCGGUUGGGGAUGGACUCGCGGCUUAUCAGCUUGUUGGUGGGGUAGUGGCUUACCAAGGCUUUGACGGGUAGCCGGCCUGAGAGGGUGACCGGCCACAUUGGGACUGAGAUACGGCCCAGACUCCUACGGGAGGCAGCAGUGGGGAAUAUUGCACAAUGGGCGGAAGCCUGAUGCAGCAACGCCGCGUGCGGGAUGACGGCCUUCGGGUUGUAAACCGCUUUCGCCUGUGACGAAGCGUGAGUGACGGUAAUGGGUAAAGAAGCACCGGCUAACUACGUGCCAGCAGCCGCGGUGAUACGUAGGGUGCGAGCGUUGUCCGGAUUUAUUGGGCGUAAAGGGCUCGUAGGUGGUUGAUCGCGUCGGAAGUGUAAUCUUGGGGCUUAACCCUGAGCGUGCUUUCGAUACGGGUUGACUUGAGGAAGGUAGGGGAGAAUGGAAUUCCUGGUGGAGCGGUGGAAUGCGCAGAUAUCAGGAGGAACACCAGUGGCGAAGGCGGUUCUCUGGGCCUUUCCUGACGCUGAGGAGCAAAAGCGUGGGGAGCGAACAGGCUUAGAUACCCUGGUAGUCCACGCUGUAAACGGUGGGUACUAGGUGUGGGGUCCAUUCCACGGGUUCCGUGCCGUAGCUAACGCUUUAAGUACCCCGCCUGGGGAGUACGGCCGCAAGGCUAAAACUCAAAGGAAUUGACGGGGCCCCGCACAAGCGGCGGAGCAUGCGGAUUAAUUCGAUGCAACGCGUAGAACCUUACCUGGGUUUGACAUGGAUCGGGAGCGCUCAGAGAUGGGUGUGCCUCUUUUGGGGUCGGUUCACAGGUGGUGCAUGGCUGUCGUCAGCUCGUGUCGUGAGAUGUUGGGUUAAGUCCCGCAACGAGCGCAACCCUUGUUCACUGUUGCCAGCACGUUAUGGUGGGGACUCAGUGGAGACCGCCGGGGUCAACUCGGAGGAAGGUGGGGAUGACGUCAAGUCAUCAUGCCCCUUAUGUCCAGGGCUUCACGCAUGCUACAAUGGCUGGUACAGAGAGUGGCGAGCCUGUGAGGGUGAGCGAAUCUCGGAAAGCCGGUCUCAGUUCGGAUUGGGGUCUGCAACUCGACCUCAUGAAGUCGGAGUCGCUAGUAAUCGCAGAUCAGCAACGCUGCGGUGAAUACGUUCCCGGG